CCUGCCGACAACACUGGGAUAGUCUUUCGAAAGAAAGAUUAAUACCGGAUGGCAUAGUUUUCCCGCAUGGGAUAAUUAUUAAAGAAUUUCGGUUGUCGAUGGGGAUGCGUUCCAUUAGGCAGUUGGCGGGGUAACGGCCCACCAAACCUACGAUGGAUAGGGGUUCUGAGAGGAAGGUCCCCCACAUUGGAACUGAGACACGGUCCAAACUCCUACGGGAGGCAGCAGUGAGGAAUAUUGGUCAAUGGACGAGAGUCUGAACCAGCCAAGUAGCGUGAAGGAUGACUGCCCUAUGGGUUGUAAACUUCUUUUAUACGGGAAUAAAGUGAGCCACGUGUGGCUUUUUGUAUGUACCGUAUGAAUAAGGAUCGGCUAACUCCGUGCCAGCAGCCGCGGUAAUACGGAGGAUCCGAGCGUUAUCCGGAUUUAUUGGGUUUAAAGGGAGCGUAGGCGGGUUGUUAAGUCAGUUGUGAAAGUUUGCGGCUCAACCGUAAAAUUGCAGUUGAUACUGGCGACCUUGAGUGCAACAGAGGUAGGCGGAAUUCGUGGUGUAGCGGUGAAAUGCUUAGAUAUCACGAAGAACUCCGAUUGCGAAGGCAGCUUACUGGAUUGUAACUGACGCUGAUGCUCGAAAGUGUGGGUAUCAAACAGGAUUAGAUACCCUGGUAGUCCACACAGUAAACGAUGAAUACUCGCUGUUGGCGAUAUACGGUCAGCGGCCAAG
RNAcentral lists this ribosomal RNA (724 nucleotides) under uncultured bacterium. Its description in RNAcentral is "bacterial SSU rRNA". It matches the Rfam family "Bacterial small subunit ribosomal RNA", at positions 125 to 851 of the family's 1533-position model. The record is from RNAcentral.